RNAcentral lists this ribosomal RNA (254 nucleotides) under uncultured bacterium. RNAcentral's name for it is "partial 16S ribosomal RNA". It matches the Rfam family "Bacterial small subunit ribosomal RNA", at positions 524 to 776 of the family's 1533-position model. The record is from RNAcentral.
GACGAACCGUGCGAACGUUAUUCGGAAUCACUGGGCUUAAAGCGCGUGUAGGCGGGCCGGCACGUCGGAUGCUGAAAGCCCCCGGCUCAACCGGGGAACGGGCACCGAAACGACUGGCCUGGAGGGGGGAAGGGGGAGCCGGAACUUCCGGUGGAGCGGUGAAAUGCGUUGAGAUCGGAAGGAACGCCCGUGGCGAAAGCGGGCUCCUGGACCGCACCUGACGCUGAGACGCGAAAGCCAGGGGAGCAAACGGG